ACUGGGCGUAAAGGGCACGCAGGCGGUGACUUAAGUGAGGUGUGAAAGCCCCGGGCUUAACCUGGGAAUUGCAUUUCAUACUGGGUCGCUAGAGUACUUUAGGGAGGGGUAGAAUUCCACGUGUAGCGGUGAAAUGCGUAGAGAUGUGGAGGAAUACCGAAGGCGAAGGCAGCCCCUUGGGAAUGUACUGACGCUCAUGUGCGAAAGCGUGGGGAGCAAACAGGAUUAGAUACCCUGGUAGUCCACGCUGUAAACGAUGUCGAUUUGGGGAUUGGGCUUUGAGCUUGGUGCCCGUAGCUAACGUGAUAAAUCGACCGCCUGGGGAGUACGGCCGCAAGGUUAAAACUCAAAUGAAUUGACGGGGGCCCGCACAAGCGGUGGAGCAUGUGGUUUAAUUCGAUGCAACGCGAAGAACCUUACCUACUCUUGACAUCCAUGGAAUCUUGUAGAGAUAUGAGAGUGCCUUCGGGAACCAUGAGACAGGUGCUGCAUGGCUGUCGUCAGCUCGUGUCGUGAG
Molecule: ribosomal RNA, 517 nt
Filed under: uncultured bacterium
Lineage: Bacteria
Description: bacterial SSU rRNA
Rfam family: Bacterial small subunit ribosomal RNA
Source: RNAcentral